Nerophis ophidion (straightnose pipefish) is the source of this 5087-nucleotide RNA transcript. It is a transcript of the gene named signal transducer and activator of transcription 2, with no coding region annotated. The record is from RefSeq and is a predicted model, not a curated record. Lineage: Eukaryota; Metazoa; Chordata; Actinopteri; Syngnathiformes; Syngnathidae. The transcript is spliced from 33 exons.
UGUGGUGGCAGGAGACUCCAGGGACACUUUGCAACGGGAGACAUUUCACCCCUUUGUACUUGAGCAACACCUUACUGCCAAGUUUUCAGAUAGUUUCUGGUAUUGGCGCUACAACUACUACCCCAUCUCACAGGGUCCAAACUGCUGCUCGGACUUGUCUGUGUCCUUCCACUAUGUACAUGACAGCAACAUGUAUCUACUGGAGUACUACGUCUAUCACCUGCGCGCCUUUGGCUACAGAUACCGCUACCAGCCCCCCAGUCCGCUCGGGUACUCUUACGAGAAGGUGGGCUCACAGGACGCUGCUGUCACCGUGGAAAAGAACAUUUCUCAAGAAAAAGAUGCAGAAGGCCAGGAUGUCUCAGUGGGAGAAGCUUCUGCAGAUGCCUCAGUGUUUCACUCCGCAGUUACAAGACCUUUACGACAGGGAAGGGCUGCCCAUGGAUGUCCGACAGUACCUGUCCGCCUGGAUCGAAUCACAGGAAUGGGAGCGAGCAGCAAGCGACUACAACUUGGCCAUGGUUUUGUACCAAGGCCUGCUCGAGAAUCUCGAUAUCCGGUACAGUCGCUUUGUACAAGAGAAGUCUUUCUUGAAGCAGCACAACAUUCGACGCUAUAAACAGAACUUUCAGAAGUUCCAGGAAAACCCCUGUGAAUUGGCCCAAAACAUCUGGUGGUUUUUGAAAGAGGAGACAGAUAUCUUGCGGACUGCCGAUCUGGCUAUGCAGGUGCAGUCUUUGCAAGUAGAACAAGAAGGCAUUGAGACCAACACCCAGCGAGACCUUGACCGUAGAAUGGCCAGCCUUAAAAAUGAAGUGCAGUGUAUGGAACAUAAAAUGGUGUGUCUGGAGGAGCAGCAGGACGAGUUUCAUUUCAAAUGUGAAAUAUACCAGAUGGAGGCAGCCACGGCAGACAACACGGAGCAAGGCAAAAUUCAAUUGCUAAUCAACAACCUCAAUGAAUCCCGAAAGGACACACUCUGCGGCCUUAAUAAGACCCUGAAAAUAGCAGGAGACCUGAUCGACACCUUGGUGAACAAGGAGAUAGUGCAAUGGCAGAGAAGGCAGCAGAAAGCCUGCAUCGGAGCUCCAGACAGCGUUUGCCUGGACCAACUUGAGAAAUGGUUCACUUGUGUGGCAGAAUGUCUCUUCCAGGUACGCGAGUUCCUUUUUAAGCUCCAGGAGCUGGUUGAAAAGGUGUCCUAUAAAAAUGACCCUGUGAAGGAGCAUAAACCUUUACUGCAAAGCAAGGCUGAAAAACUCCUGAGCAAGUUGCUCACAAGUUCCUUAGUAGUUGAAGUCCAGCCGUCCAUGCCUCAGGGUAAAGGCCCCCUAGUUCUGCGCACAGGUGUGCAAUUCUCUGUUAAGACAAGACUCUUAGUUAAGUUUCCUGAGAUGAAAAAUUCCAUGGAGGUCCACACAUCAAUCGGUGCACCUAAGAUAAAAGGAUGUCGUCAUUUCAACGUCCUAGGCACCGUAACCAAAGCUUUGAGCAUGUCAGAGAGUCAGAGCGGUGGCAUGGUGGCAGACUUCAGGCACCUGACUUUGAAGGAGCAGAAGUCAGGAGGAGGUGGUCGAGGAACGGGCGAUCUUUCUCUCAGCGUGACAGAAGAAUUGCACAUCAUCUGCUUCAACACCACCUUUGUGCUGAAAGGCAUGUCGGUCGACUUGCAGGCCACGUCCCUCCCAGUGGUCGUCAUCUCCAACUCCAGUCAGCUGAAUAGUGCCUGGGCGUCUGUGCUGUGGUUCAACAUGCUCAGCCAGGACCCCAAAGACCUGAUGUUCUUUGCCAACUCCCAAGCAGCCCCUUGGCCACAGCUGGGACAGAUGCUGAGUUGGCAGUUUCUCUCUGCCGCCAAACGUGGUCUGAAUGAUGAUCAGCUGGAAAUGAUCGCUCUCAGGCUUUUUGGAAAGCAACAGAAUUAUGACACCUGCACUGUAGAUUGGUCCAAAUUUUCAAAGGAAAACAGUCCUGACACGUUCUGGGUGUGGUUUGACAGCAUUGUGGUGAUGGUGAAAACCUAUCUUGAAGACCUGUGGAGGGAUGGCCUGAUCAUGGGCUUUGUUAGCAAGGGCAAAGAAAAGUUACUCCUGAAGCAAAAACAGAGGGGCACCUUCCUGAUCCGUUUCAGUGAGAGCGUCAUCGGUGGAAUCACCUUCUCCUGGGUAGAAAGUACAAAUGGUGAUCCUGAAGUCAAGACAAUCCAGCCGUUUACCAAAAAUGACCUUGCCCAGAUUCACUUCCAUGAGAUCAUCCAGAAUUUUCUCAUCCUUGAGGAUGAAAAUGUCCCAGAAAACCCUUUACAAUAUUUAUAUCCCGACACUCCCAGGGAUGAAGCUUUUGGGAAAUACUACACUGACAAGACUGGAAACGACAACCCUCAUCUCAAGUACAUCAAAACCCGGCUAAUGUUUGUUUCAAAGGGGGACAAACUGGAGCCUGAACCAUACCCGUUUAGAGACAUGACAGAGGAGGACCAAGACCAGCAGCCAGUGAAUGGCGAGUGUGGAGGAGAUGCUGUCUUUCCUUUUCAAGAAGAGUUUUUCCUCCAAGAUGACCCCAUGUUUUGGACACAUUUGAAUGAUGAUCUGAUGCCAGCAUUGCCCAACCCUUUUAACUGAACACUUGCUGUGAGGCCUUUGUAACCACAGCACAGGAAGUGGAUGUGGCCCGCAGCAACCAGGUGUGCAGGCUAAUUGGGAACAGGUGGUGCUGAUAGGUGGAUGAUACAGCAGAGGAUGUGGUCAGAUGAAACCAAAAUAGAACUUUUUGGUAUAAACUCAACAUUUUGUGUUUGGAGGAAGAAGAAUACUGAGUUGCAUCCCAAGAACACCAUACCUACUGUGAAGCAUGGGGAUGGAAACAUCAUGCUUUGGGGCUGUUUUUCUGCGAAGGGGACAGGACGAUUGAUCCAUGUUAAGGCAAGAAUGAAUGGGGCCAUGUAUCGUGAGAUUUUGAGCCAAAACCUCCUUCCAUCAGUGAGAGCUUUGAAUGGUUUAGCAAAUACUUAUUUUCCACCAUAAUUUACAAAUAAAUUCUUUAAAAUUUCUACAAUUUUUUUUCACAUUCUGUCUCUCACAGUUGAAGUGUACCUAUGAUGAAAACUACAGACCUCUGUCAUCAUUUUAAGUGGGAGAACUUGCACAAUCGGUGGCUGACUAUUUUAAAUACUCUUUUGCCCCACUGUAAAAGGUUCCAAAAAUAGUCUUUAUCCUUUUUGGGAAUUAAACGAUAGCGAUGCUACGACAGAGAUGUGUGGAUAUCCUGCGACACUCAAAGCAGAUGCAUUUCCAACGAUAAAGUCAACGAAAUCACAAAGGUGAGUUUUGUUGAUGUUAUUGACUUAUGUGCUAAUCAGACAUAUUUGGUCACGGCAUGAUUGCCAGCUAAUCCAUGCUAACAUGCUAUUUAGGCUAGCUGUAUGUACAUUUGUAGCUAUAUUUGCAUCCAGCCUUUCCCUCCACCCACAUUUAAUGCCAACAAACACAUACCAAUCGACGGAUUCAAGUUUCACCAGUGUCAAAAGAUGCGAAAGUCCCACGUUUAUUAUGCACAUUUUACCGACGAUAGCGAUGCUACGACAGAGAUGGCACAGAGAUGUGUGGAUAUCCUACGGCACUCAAAAGCAGAUGCAUUUCCAACAAUAAAGUCAACGAAAUCACAAAGGUGAGUUUUGUUGAUGUUAUUGACUUAUGUGCUAAUCAGACAUAUUUGGUCACGGCAUGAUUGCCAGCUAAUCCAUGCUAACAUGCUAUUUAGGCUAGCUGUAUGUACAUUUGUAGCUAUAUUUGCAUCCAGCCUUUCCCUCCACCCAUAUUUAAUGCCAAACAAACACUUACCAAUCAACGGAUUCAAGUUGCACCAGUGUCAAAAGAUGCGAAAGUCCCUCGUUUGUUCUGCACAUUUUACAGACGAUAGCGAUGCUACGACAGAGAUGUGUGGAUAUCCUGCGACACUCAAAGCAGAUGCAUUUCCAACGAUAAAGUCAACGAAAUCACAAAGCGAUGCUACGACAGAGAUGGCACAGAGAUGUGUGGAUAUCCUGCGACACUCAAAAGCAGAUGCAUUUCCAACAAUAAAGUCAACGAAAUCACAAAGACGAUAGCGAUGCUACGACAGAGAUGUGUGGAUAUCCUGCGACACUCAAAGCAGAUGCAUUUCCAACGAUAAAGUCAACGAAAUCACAAAGCGAUGCUACGACAGAGAUGGCACAGAGAUGUGUGGAUAUCCUGCGACACUCAAAAGCAGAUGCAUUUCCAACAAUAAAGUCAACAAAAUCACAAAGACGAUAGCGAUGCUACGACAGAGAUGUGUGGAUAUCCUGCGACACUCAAAGCAGAUGCAUUUCCAACGAUAAAGUCAACGAAAUCACAAAGCGAUGCUACGACAGAGAUGGCACAGAGAUGUGUUGAUAUCCUGCGACACUCAAAAGCAGAUGCAUUUCCAACAAUAAAGUCAACGAAAUCACAAAGCCUUGACGCUACGACCAGGCUGUUCCGAAAAACACCAACGAUGGACGCUUUCGACCUCCCUCCUUUCUCUGAAAAACACCCCCGAGGACACCUCAAUGAUGGACGCUUUUGACCUCCUUCCUUUCUCAACAACACCUGGAGUCGAACUUUUGCAGAUCGGCCUCAGUCUACAAAAACAUUACACCAUCACACCUAAGACAAUUGGGCACACACGCACACACCUGCCCUCCCCCACCCCACGCCUUCACCACCGCUUGUUUUUCCCCUCGGGGCCUUCCAGGGCUCCAACUCCCCCCCACCCCCCCUGUGUGAGUUGUUGUGAUUAAAUGUAACGUGUUUAUGUGUGCAUUGCAAAUUAGGUUUUUCCACUUGGACUCAAUCCAGACCACGUCCCGUGGGUCCAGCCUUUGACUAAAAAUUGUUUUACUCUUUCCUCCCCUUUCCCAAUACCACCUUUUUAAGGAGUGCCAUAAAAAUGGCUGAUCUGUUGGCGGUCCCGUCUUGUCUCCCUCUAACGUAUGACUGCUCUUAGUGGGACUGUGUCGAAAAUGUACUUUUCAGUUCUUAUGUGUCUUGUGCAUGUUAAGAAUUGACAAUAAAUCAUUUCCAUUCCCA